Molecule: ribosomal RNA, 120 nt
Filed under: Bifidobacterium thermacidophilum
Lineage: Bacteria; Bacillati; Actinomycetota; Actinomycetes; Bifidobacteriales; Bifidobacteriaceae
Source: RNAcentral
UUUGCGGCGGCCAUGGCCCAGGGGAGACGCCCGGACCCAUUCCGAACCCGGAAGCUAAGACCUGGCACGGCGAUGGUACUGCACCUGGAAGGGUGUGGGAGAGUAGCACGCCGCCGCACC